This is an RNA transcript of Schistocerca americana (American grasshopper), 2278 nucleotides long. It is a transcript of the gene named LYR motif-containing protein 2, with no coding region annotated. The record is from RefSeq and is a predicted model, not a curated record. The transcript is spliced from 4 exons. Lineage: Eukaryota; Metazoa; Arthropoda; Insecta; Orthoptera; Acrididae.
CUAGUAGAAGGUCUGUGUUGUGAUGACGCAAGAAUAGUCGUUGGAGGGAGAAUAAAAGCUGUUGUUUUGGAUUUGUUGAAGAUGAGAUGGAUUUUGUUUGAAAUAAAUGUUCUCUGUUCAUAGAGUUGCUGCAUAAUUCUUUGAUACUUCCCUUACUGUACAUAAUUUCCAACUAUGCCUCCAAAGAUCCCGGCAACAAUGAAUCUUAAACAGUUUAUGCUCCGUCAGAAAGUUCUGAAACUGUAUCGAGACAUAUUACGGGAAAUACGCAGAGUACCGGAUGAAGGAAGUAAAGCAGAACUUCGCCUUUGGGCUAGAAGUGACUUUAGAAAGUACCAAAAUGAGAAAGAUGAGUACGCUAUAAAGAUGCUGAUCUUCAAUGGUGAGAGAUCCUUAAAGGAACUGAAGCAAUCCAUUGAGUUGAGCAGUGCAAAGAAUAAUUAAAAGUAGCAUGUGAUGUUAAUGGCACAUGAUUGCUGUGACUGAACAAUAUAAAACAAUGUAAUAUUUAUGGUGACAUCAUCUUGACAACAGAGAUAUGGUGAAAUAGAUAAGAUAGAUGUUGUAUGCUUACAAGAUGAAGGCAGCACAGAUUGUUGAUACUGGUGUAACUUAUAAUAAUUAUAGCUGGGACCAAUUUGUUUAAUUAAUGCAGCUGUUAUUUGAUUUGGUUAUAAAUGAAGCUGUUAACGAACAACCUGAAGCCAGAAUACUUUGACAUAAUUAUUUUUUAUGUACUUUACACGAGGAAUGCUACUGUUCCUUUCCAUUGGUCAUGUCUUGUCACAUAUUUUGCUUGUGUGAAGCCUUCUAUUUGGAGCCCGAGCAAAAGUGAUGUAAAGUGGGGGGCAAAAACCUAAUUAAUGUGAUUGAUAACUGGUUUGUGUGUGUACUUCCUGUGCCUUGUUGAUAUAGAUGAGCACAAGGUGCUUUUACAAAUUUUGGCCGUUCUUUCUAGAUCUAUGUAUGUACUCUGCAAGCCAUUAAACAGUGAAUGGCUGAGAGUACUCUGCACCAUAUUAAACAAGAGAAAAAGACACUCUAUAUGCCUGUGUACAUGCCCUAAUCUCGCUUUAUCUUAUUCUCAUGAUCCCAGAAUGGUUGUACAGUCUUCUUUGAAUACAAGUUCUGUAAAUGUUCCCAAAGGGCUUCACAAGAACUAUACCAUCUGUCCUCCAAUGAUUCCAAUUGAAGUUCUGUGAGCAAUUCUGUUACACUUUUGUGAGGCCAAUACCAACCUGCUACAAUCCUAGCAGCUUGUCUCUGAAUUUGUUCACUGUCUAUUGUCAUGCCUACUUAAUGACACCAAACUAUGGAACAAUACUUUAGAAUUGGCUGCCCUAGCAUCUUAUAUACAAUUUCCUUUACAAAUGUAGUACACUUUCACAGAACCUAUCCAACAAAUCCAAGUCUUUCGUUCACCUUCCCUAAUACUAAUUGUAAGUGUUUGUCCCAUUUAGUAUCACUUUUUAGUAUUACCUCUAAAUACUUCAUGUCUACAUCUAUCUACACAUAUACCUCACCGUAUGGUGCAUUGAGGAGGUAACUUAUAUCAUUGCUAGUCAAGUAGAGAACAAGAGCAGUCCCAUCACACAGCCCUGGACCACUCCCAGUGAUACUUUUGAUGACCACUUGCUAUCCAGGACACCAUACUGGGUUCCAUUACUUAAAAAAUCUUUGAGCUACUCACAUGUCUGAGAACCUAUUCUGUAUCCUCAGAUUUUGUGAACAGUCUGCAGUGUGGCACUGUGUGAAGUGCUGUGUGCAAGAAAAGAGCAAGCUAAGUUUCAGAUGUGUCAUGCUCUCUGAAUCCGUGCUGAUUUGUAGAUGGAAAAUGCGAUACACUCUAGAUGUUCACAGCUAAUCUUAUAAUCAGGUUCUUUCUCUUUGUUAUAGGCCUUGUUUUACACAUAUCCACAUUUAAGGAGACCCUCUUAAUGUUACUGAUUCUACCUGAAAAAACCUUUAAUGUAUAUUGACAAUAUUAUAGUCCUUAUUACAUUUUCUUGGGCUACACCCAAUAUGACUUUAAUUACUGUUACACAUUCAUCCCCUAGUAUUACACACUGCCUUACAUUUGUCAAAUAUUCAUUGUGACAAUCACAUAUUUGCAAAGAUAUUCUGUAUUUUUGUAUCUUGGAUAGUAAUUGACAGUGUGGUACUGUGUCAGAAUACCUUUCAGAAAUUCAAGAAGGUGGAACCUAUCUGUUCACCUUCAUGUAUUAUUAAAUUUGAAAGGUAAUUGUGUAUGAAUAAAGCAAGCUGUGUUUCUCACAAA